Molecule: ribosomal RNA, 468 nt
Filed under: uncultured bacterium
Lineage: Bacteria
Description: partial 16S ribosomal RNA
Rfam family: Bacterial small subunit ribosomal RNA
Source: RNAcentral
GACGAACGCUGGCGGCGUGCUUAACACAUGCAAGUCGAACGGAAAGGCCCUGCUUUUGUGGGGUGCUCGAGUGGCGAACGGGUGAGUAACACGUGAGUAACCUGCCCUUGACUUUGGGAUAACUUCAGGAAACUGGGGCUAAUACCGGAUAGGAGCUCCUGCUGCAUGGUGGGGGUUGGAAAGUUUCGGCGGUUGGGGAUGGACUCGCGGCUUAUCCGCUUGUUGGUGGGGUAGUGGCUUACCAAGGCUUUGACGGGUAGCCGGCCUGAGAGGGUUACCGGCCACAUUGGGACUGAGAUACGGACCAGACUCCUACGGGAGGCAGCAGUGGGGAAUAUUGCACAAUAGGCGGAAGCCUGAUGCAGCGACGCCGCGUGCGUGAUGACGGCCUUCGGGUUGUAAACCGCUUUCGCCUGUGACGAAGCGUGAGUGACGGUAAUGGGUAAAGAAGCACCGGCUAACUACGUG